AGUGAACGCUGGCGGUAGGCCUAACACAUGCAAGUCGAACGGCAGCACAGUAAGAGCUUGCUCUUACGGGUGGCGAGUGGCGGACGGGUGAGGAAUACAUCGGAAUCUACUUUUUCGUGGGGGAUAACGUAGGGAAACUUACGCUAAUACCGCAUACGACCUACGGGUGAAAGCAGGGGAUCUUCGGACCUUGCGCGAUUGAAUGAGCCGAUGUCGGAUUAGCUAGUUGGCGGGGUAAAGGCCCACCAAGGCGACGAUCCGUAGCUGGUCUGAGAGGAUGAUCAGCCGCACUGGAACUGAGACGCGGUCCAGACUCCUACGGGAGGCAGCAGUGGGGAAUAUUGGACAAUGGGCGCAAGCCUGAUCCAGCCAUACCGCGUGGGUGAAGGAGGCCUUCGGGUUGUAAAGCCCUUUUGUUGGGAAAGAAAAGCAGCAGGUUAAUACCACGCUGUUCUGACGGUACCCAAAGAAUAAGCACCGGCUAACUUCGUG
This 492-nucleotide ribosomal RNA is filed under the name uncultured bacterium. RNAcentral's name for it is "partial 16S ribosomal RNA". It matches the Rfam family "Bacterial small subunit ribosomal RNA", at positions 29 to 507 of the family's 1533-position model. The record is from RNAcentral.